UACGUAGGGCGCAAGCGUUAUCCGGAAUUAUUGGGCGUAAAGAGCUCGUAGGCGGCUUGUCGCGUCUGCCGUGAAAGUCCGGGGCCCAACUCCGGAUCUGCGGUGGGUACGGGCAGACUAGAGUGAUGUAGGGGAGACUGGAAUUCCUGGUGUAGCGGUGAAAUGCGCAGAUAUCAGGAGGAACACCGAUGGCGAAGGCAGGUCUCUGGGCAUUAACUGACGCUGAGGAGCGAAAGCAUGGGGAGCGAACAGG
This 253-nucleotide ribosomal RNA is filed under the name uncultured bacterium. Its description in RNAcentral is "partial 16S ribosomal RNA". It matches the Rfam family "Bacterial small subunit ribosomal RNA", at positions 524 to 776 of the family's 1533-position model. The record is from RNAcentral.